This is a long non-coding RNA of Vidua chalybeata, 567 nucleotides long. RefSeq lists it as uncharacterized. The transcript is spliced from 2 exons. The record is from RefSeq and is a predicted model, not a curated record. Lineage: Eukaryota; Metazoa; Chordata; Aves; Passeriformes; Viduidae.
UGUUGCUAAAGCUGCUUCAAUUUCUUCACAAAUAUGUCUGUGCUGGCAAGAUGCAAGCUGCCUGUCACAGCAGUCUCACUGCACCACGGCUAUAUGGCACAGCUGACUUCUUAUCCCCUUGCUCCUGUGAAGAAAGGGACUUUUGCUGAUUAGAAAUAAUAAUUGAAUUGUUGGAAUCUGGAGGAGUCCCAGCAGAAGACCAUCCUUGCUGGGAAUCCACAGGAAAUGGGUGGCUGGAGGUAUCUCACUACCUUCUGAAAACAUGUCAGUUGUGUAUUAUCUGCUCUUUCAGCAGGUGGUGCUUAUACAAUGAGUAGCCUUACAUGGAGCGUGGGAGGGCAGAUUGAGUGAGGAGUGGUAAUGCUGAUUUGACAUACUUGAAAAUGCUCAAUCAACUUGUUGGAGUCUUUCACGAUCAGGUCUAGUGUGACACGGAAUGCCAGGGGAGCCAAGGGGAGAGAAACAGAUGCCAAAGUCUGGAUUAUACAUCCCCCCUGCUCCCCGCGCCCCCCCCAAAAGGGGCAAUAUAAGCAAAUGCAAUAAACAAAGAACUUAAUUUUCUGUUAA